This 863-nucleotide ribosomal RNA is filed under the name Azotobacter beijerinckii. RNAcentral describes it as "bacterial SSU rRNA". It matches the Rfam family "Bacterial small subunit ribosomal RNA", at positions 67 to 925 of the family's 1533-position model. The record is from RNAcentral. Lineage: Bacteria; Pseudomonadati; Pseudomonadota; Gammaproteobacteria; Pseudomonadales; Pseudomonadaceae.
CGGAUGAGGGGUGCUUGCAUCCCGAUUCAGCGGCGGACGGGUGAGUAAUGCCUAGGAAUCUGCCCGAUAGUGGGGGACAACGUUUCGAAAGGAACGCUAAUACCGCAUACGUCCUACGGGAGAAAGUGGGGGCUCUUCGGACCUCACGCUAUCGGAUGAGCCUAGGUCGGAUUAGCUAGUUGGUGGGGUAAAGGCUCACCAAGGCGACGAUCCGUAACUGGUCUGAGAGGAUGAUCAGUCACACUGGAACUGAGACACGGUCCAGACUCCUACGGGAGGCAGCAGUGGGGAAUAUUGGACAAUGGGCGAAAGCCUGAUCCAGCCAUGCCGCGUGUGUGAAGAAGGUCUUCGGAUUGUAAAGCACUUUAAGUUGGGAGGAAGGGCUGUAAGCGAAUACCUUGCAGUUUUGACGUUACCGACAGAAUAAGCACCGGCUAACUUCGUGCCAGCAGCCGCGGUAAUACGAAGGGUGCAAGCGUUAAUCGGAAUUACUGGGCGUAAAGCGCGCGUAGGUGGUUUGGUAAGUUGGAUGUGAAAGCCCCGGGCUCAACCUGGGAACUGCAUCCAAAACUGCCUGACUAGAGUACGGUAGAGGGUGGUGGAAUUUCCUGUGUAGCGGUGAAAUGCGUAGAUAUAGGAAGGAACACCAGUGGCGAAGGCGACCACCUGGACUGAUACUGACACUGAGGUGCGAAAGCGUGGGGAGCAAACAGGAUUAGAUACCCUGGUAGUCCACGCCGUAAACGAUGUCGACUAGCCGUUGGGCUCCUUGAGAGCUUAGUGGCGCAGCUAACGCAUUAAGUCGACCGCCUGGGGAGUACGGCCGCAAGGUUAAAACUCAAAUGAAUUGACGGGGGCCCGCA